AUUUCUAAACCCUGUCCCACUUUUCGAAUUUUUAACGUCAUACAAAUAUCCAGAGGCCACGUAAGCCUCGAAUAUCCGCUGCUUCAUAUAACUUUGGUUUCACCUAGUAAACAGAAGUCGACGUAUCCCACUUAACGUUACGUUAGAAUGAGUAGCGGGUCCCAUUAGAAUUUAUCUGUGCUGAUGGAGUCGCUUUUGUGUUGAGUAGCUCCAUGAUACUGUGCUAAUGGAAUCGGUUCUGUGUCGAGUAGCUUCGUGAUACAUAGUAGCUUCAGAUUUUUCAACGCGCUCCACUAGGAAGAAAAUUAUUUCUUGAGCAGCGUCGCCCGUGUCCUCCGUGCUUGUGUCAGGUAUAUGCUGUAGCUAAGGUGCCAAGCAUAAAAAAUUUCUGAAAUGGAAAAAUGCAGCUAUUGGUGGAAUAACAAGCUUUUUCCCAAAAUCAAAUCCUGUUAGUGUUGCACCUUCCAGUUCCCCCAAGUCUUACUUGUGCUUCGGAAAAUUCAGAUACUUUAGAUGACGCUGUUAGGAGGUUAAAAGAUGUUUUGGAUGCUGUAACUUUGUGCCGUUUAAAAGUGGUGACUCUUAUAGAUCUAGCAAUGUCGUGGGCAAACUCUUCUCAAGUAUAUUCCCUGACAAUGUUAUAGCAAGACGCUUUUCUUGUAGUAUGAAAAAGCUUGCUAAUCUCUGCCAUUUUGGAUUAGCACCUUAUUUUCAGAAUCUCGUGUAUGACGGAUUAAGAAGCUAUCCCACUAUACCUUGUUACUUGACGAGACUUUGAAUAGAAUAAAUAAAAAAAGCAAUUAGAUUUGCAUAUCAUAUAUUGGCAGUCUCAUCAAAAUUAAGUUGUAACUCAAUUUUUGACCUCUAUUUUCAUGGAACAUGUAACUGUUGCUAAUAUUUUCCAAAGUUUUCAAAGGGCAUUUAAAAGCUAGAUAUAUAGAAAACUGCUACAGAUAAGUGUGUAUGGGCCAGCCAUAAAUUGAAAGUCUUAUGAAACCAUUCCAAUAUGAAUUGAAAAAGGAAUAUGGCAUUGAAUAUAUAUCUGUUAGUAGUUGUGGCUUGCAUAUUUUGAACAAUGCUUUCCAUAAAGAAGCAUCCACUACAAGCUGGGAUAUACCUUCUAUUUUAGAAGCUUUAGAAGCACUGUACCAUCUACUCAAAGAUUCUCCAGCACGUUGGAAUUUUUUAACAUCGAGUGUGCAUAAGUGUAAAAUUUUGUAACUAUAGGUUUAGUGAAUGUGCCAAGAUGUUCGCGUGUUUUUGAAAUUUGGGAAGAUAUAAAACGUUAUGUCAAACUAAUUGAGAAUGGAAAAUAUGCAAAAAUAAAUUAUGUGAAAUAAGAGAUACAAUUAAAGACAAAUUAAUGCCUGUAAAAUUCCUUUUUUUCAUUUGUGUGGCUGAAUUGGUCAGCCGUUUUUGGAACUGUACUAAAGUGAUGGACCGCUUGUUCCUUUUAUUGCUUUUGAUUUACACAAAUUAGUAAAGCAACUUUUGCAUCAUUUCAAAAUUGUAAAAGAAGAGUACGUGUUAAAAAUCAGUUCAUCCUUUGUGUGAGUUUCAGAAAGGCAUCAUUAAUGAGAUAAGCAAAAUUAGUUUAAGAUUUAGGACUGAUAAGUUCUUGCAAGAAUUAUACACUAGGAAAGAAAUCAUGGGAUUUUAAUUAAAAGAAAGAUUAAAUUCCUCUUAAACGUUACUCACAAACUUUCAUUUUGCAGCUACUUGUAAAGCUGAUGGAGAAAUGUCCAGUUAAUUAUUCACUAAUUCGAAAUGUGGUUUCUAUUAAUCCAAAGUAUAUAGCCAGCAAAACAGUACAAAUGCGUACGAGAAACUGAAAAGUAUAUUGAUGCAUUUUUCCCCGAAAGGUCACAUUGCAGAAGAAUGCGGUAGCAUCUUUUUGGAAUUUUCCAAUUUCGUCAAAAAUGUUGUCCAGCUAUACCUUACAGAAUUAAAAACCUAUAAUGUGAAAAAAAUGAGAUUAGACACUUUUUGGCACACAUUCAUACAUGAAAAAUUUUUUUAAGUUAUAGAAAACAUUUAGAAUGAUCUUUACUCUUUCUCUGUUGAAUGAGUAUUUAGUAUCAAUAAAAUAUAGAAACAGACAAUCUGGGGGAAAAUUCAAACAUUGCCCAGCGAAUAGUAUUCUGUGAAAAAUGCUGGUGGGAUACAAAAUGUAUCAGUUACGAAAGAGCAGCAGCUUCAUCAGCUCAUUCACAGUAUCAGUCAUAUAUGGAAGAGCAAGGAAAACAUUUCAAGAUAAGAAAAAGAAAAGCAGAAUCAACAGAUGACUUGCUUUCUCUUAAAGGAAAGAAAACUCGCUUAGAAAGAAGUGCUUGGAAAAAAGCAAAUGAACUUGCCGAAAAGGCUGGAGUUACAAAAGAUAAAUAAUAAUAAAAAUAAAUCUAAUGAAAGAUUAAAAUCUAUUUGUGAAACCCAAACUCUGUUAAGAGAACUGGAUUCAAACAUGAAUGAAAAGAGUUAAAAGAAAAUAAUAUUCAUUAAUAAGUAAAUCAUUUUUUCUUGUUUCUUUUUUUUUAUGUUGUAAAGUACUUUGUAUGAAUAUAAUAAAUAUGGUUCAUUAUUUUUUA
Long non-coding RNA from Stegodyphus dumicola, 2585 nucleotides. The record is from RefSeq and is a predicted model, not a curated record. Lineage: Eukaryota; Metazoa; Arthropoda; Arachnida; Araneae; Eresidae.